UACGUAGGGUGCGUGCGUUAAUCGGAAUUACUGGGCGUAAAGCGUGCGCAGGCGGUUAUGUAAUUCAGGUGUGAAAUCCCCGGGCUUAACCUGGGAACUGCAUUUGUGACUGCAUAGCUAGAGUACGGUAGAGGGGGAUGGAAUUCCGCGUGUAGCAGUGAAAUGCGUAGAUAUGCGGAGGAACACCGAUGGCGAAGGCAAUCCCCUGGACCUGUACUGACGCUCAUGCACGAAAGCGUGGGGAGCAAACAGG
Molecule: ribosomal RNA, 253 nt
Filed under: uncultured bacterium
Lineage: Bacteria
Description: partial 16S ribosomal RNA
Rfam family: Bacterial small subunit ribosomal RNA
Source: RNAcentral